This 77-nucleotide transfer RNA is filed under the name Bacillota bacterium. Its description in RNAcentral is "tRNA-Met". It matches the Rfam family "tRNA". From Rfam's summary of the family: Transfer RNA (tRNA) molecules are approximately 80 nucleotides in length. Their secondary structure includes four short double-helical elements and three loops (D, anti-codon, and T loops). Further hydrogen bonds mediate the characteristic L-shaped molecular structure. tRNAs have two regions of fundamental functional importance: the anti-codon, which is responsible for specific mRNA codon recognition, and the 3' end, to which the tRNAs corresponding amino acid is attached (by aminoacyl-tRNA synthetases). tRNAs cope with the degeneracy of the genetic code in two manners: having more than one tRNA (with a specific anti-codon) for a particular amino acid; and 'wobble' base-pairing, i.e. permitting non-standard base-pairing at the 3rd anti-codon position. Lineage: Bacteria; Bacillati; Bacillota. The record is from RNAcentral.
CGCGGGAUAGAGCAGCUAGGUAGCUCGUCGGGCUCAUAACCCGAAGGUCGAUGGUUCGAAUCCAUCUCCCGCAACCA